GCGCUUGCUUCAGCAGCACGUAUACUAAAAUUGGAAGGAUACAGAGAUUAGCGUGUCCCCUGCACAAGGACGAUGUGCAAAUACGUGAAUCAUUCUAUAUUAAA
Small nuclear RNA from Balaenoptera acutorostrata (minke whale), 104 nucleotides. Lineage: Eukaryota; Metazoa; Chordata; Mammalia; Artiodactyla; Balaenopteridae. The record is from RefSeq and is a predicted model, not a curated record.